RNAcentral lists this ribosomal RNA (573 nucleotides) under Streptomyces sp. 413B04. RNAcentral's name for it is "bacterial SSU rRNA". It matches the Rfam family "Bacterial small subunit ribosomal RNA", at positions 93 to 671 of the family's 1533-position model. Lineage: Bacteria; Bacillati; Actinomycetota; Actinomycetes; Kitasatosporales; Streptomycetaceae. The record is from RNAcentral.
UGGNGGCGAACGGGUGAGUAACACGUGGGCANUCUGCCCUGCACUCUGNGACAAGCCCUGGAAACGGGGUCUAAUACCGGAUACGAGCCGGGGAGGCAUCUCCUCGGUUGGAAAGCUCCGGCGGUGCAGGAUGAGCCCGCGGCCUAUCAGCUUGUUGGUGAGGUAACGGCUCACCAAGGCGACGACGGGUAGCCGGCCUGAGAGGGCGACCGGCCACACUGGGACUGAGACACGGCCCAGACUCCUACGGGAGGCAGCAGUGGGGAAUAUUGCACAAUGGGCGAAAGCCUGAUGCAGCGACGCCGCGUGAGGGAUGACGGCCUUCGGGUUGUAAACCUCUUUCAGCAGGGAAGAAGCGAAAGUGACGGUACCUGCAGAAGAAGCGCCGGCUAACUACGUGCCAGCAGCNCGCGGUAAUACGUAGGGCGCGAGCGUUGUCCCGGAAUUAUUGGGCGUAAAGAGCUCGUAGGGCGGCUUGUCACGUCGGUUGNGAAAGCCCGGGGCUUAACCCCGGGUCUGCAGUNCGAUACNGGGCCAGGCUAGAGUUUCGGUAGGGGAGGAUCGGGAUUUCCU